CCCUUAGAUGUUCUGGGCCGCACGCGCGCUACACUGAUGCAUUCAACGAGUCUAAAACCUGCUCUGAUAGGGGUGGGUAAUCUUUUGAAUGUGCAUCGUGAUUGGGAUAGAUGAUUGCAAUUUUUCAUCUUCAACGAGGAAUGCCUAGUAAACGCAAGUCAUCAGCUUGCAUUGAUUACGUCCCUGCCCUUUGUACACACCGCCCGUCGCUCCUACCGAUUGAAUGAUCCGAUGAAUAUCAUGGAUUGAGGAUGCAAGCAGGUACGCCUGUCUUCAUCUUCGAGAAGUGAAGUAAAUCUUAUCAUUUAGAGGAAGGAGAAGUCGUAACA
RNAcentral lists this ribosomal RNA (329 nucleotides) under uncultured eukaryote. Its description in RNAcentral is "partial 18S ribosomal RNA". It matches the Rfam family "Eukaryotic small subunit ribosomal RNA", at positions 1470 to 1796 of the family's 1831-position model. The record is from RNAcentral.